This 250-nucleotide unclassified non-coding RNA is filed under the name plant metagenome. RNAcentral describes it as "partial contains small subunit ribosomal RNA, internal transcribed spacer 1, and 5.8S ribosomal RNA". The record is from RNAcentral.
GUAGGUGAACCUGCGGAAGGAUCAUUACCGAGAUAUUUUGCUUUUCUGAAAAGAAACAGUGAAUCUCCCACCCUUUGUGUUACCAAUUUUAAUACUUUGGUGAAGCAUCUCUUACAAAAGAGAUCAUUGACUUUUGAAAGAAAGUGGAUGUGUCUUUGCCAAAGGAACCAUUUAACUCUAUUGUUAUUAACAAAUUGUCUGAGUUUAUAAUUUUAAAAAAUAAACAAAACUUUCAACAACGGAUCUCUUG